This 254-nucleotide ribosomal RNA is filed under the name uncultured bacterium. Its description in RNAcentral is "partial 16S ribosomal RNA". It matches the Rfam family "Bacterial small subunit ribosomal RNA", at positions 524 to 776 of the family's 1533-position model. The record is from RNAcentral.
UACGAAGGGGGCUAGCGUUGCUCGGAAUUACUGGGCGUAAAGCGCGUGUAGGCGGCAGCGCAAGUCGGGCGUGAAAUCCCACGGCUCAACCGUGGAAGUGCACUCGAAACUGCGCAGCUAGAGUCCUGGAGAGGAAGGUGGAAUGCUUGGUGUAGGAGGUGAAAUUCGUAGAUAUCAAGCGGAACACCGGUGGCGAAGGCGACCUUCUGGACAGUGACUGACGCUGAGACGCGAAAGCGUGGGGAGCGAACAGG